GGCUGCAUAGUUCAGUGGUAGAACGCCAGUCUCAUGAGCUGGAGGUCCUGAGUUCAACUCUCAGUGCAGCCA
RNAcentral lists this transfer RNA (72 nucleotides) under Candidatus Pacearchaeota archaeon. RNAcentral's name for it is "tRNA-Met". It matches the Rfam family "tRNA". Rfam says of the family: Transfer RNA (tRNA) molecules are approximately 80 nucleotides in length. Their secondary structure includes four short double-helical elements and three loops (D, anti-codon, and T loops). Lineage: Archaea; Nanobdellati. The record is from RNAcentral.